UUGCAGCCAAUUAAGCUGACUAGCUUCACUUACGCAUGGGGACUUGGUACGCAGUGGCUGUAAACAGGAGCCUCCUCAGUAGUGUACACAACCUGUUGCUUGUGUGGGUUGUUCUAAGGGACCUUGGAGAUAGGU
This 135-nucleotide small nucleolar RNA is filed under the name Castor canadensis (American beaver). RNAcentral's name for it is "Small nucleolar RNA SNORA70 (ENSCCNG00000013797.1)". It matches the Rfam family "Small nucleolar RNA SNORA70". Rfam says of the family: snoRNA U70 seems to be exclusive to mammals and is a member of the H/ACA class of snoRNA which contain H (ANANNA) and ACA box motifs. H/ACA box snoRNAs are involved in the conversion of uridines to pseudouridines (5-ribosyluracil) a constituent of structural RNAs (transfer, ribosomal, small nuclear, and small nucleolar). Lineage: Eukaryota; Metazoa; Chordata; Mammalia; Rodentia; Castoridae. The record is from Rfam by way of RNAcentral.